CCUACGGGCGGCAGCAGUGAGGAAUAUUGGUCAAUGGGCGGGAGCCUGAACCAGCCAAGCCGCGUGAGGGAAGAAGGUACAGCGUAUCGUAAACCUCUUUUGUCAGGGAACAAAGGCGGGGACUAGUCCCCGGAUCAGGGUACCUGAAGAAAAAGCAUCGGCUAACUCCGUGCCAGCAGCCGCGGUAAUACGGAGGAUGCGAGCGUUAUCCGGAUUUAUUGGGUUUAAAGGGUGCGCAGGCGGCCUGUUAAGUCAGCGGGAAAAGCCCGGGGCGCAACCCCGGCGAGCCGUUGAAACUGGCGGGCUGGAGUUGGAGAGAAGUACGCGGAAUGCGUGGUGUAGCGGUGAAAUGCUUAGAUAUCGCGCAGAACCCCGAUUGCGAAGGCAGCGUACCGGCUCCACACUGACGCUGAGGCACGAAAGCGUGGGUAUCGAACAGGAUUAGAUACCCUUGUAGUC
RNAcentral lists this ribosomal RNA (459 nucleotides) under uncultured bacterium. RNAcentral describes it as "partial 16S ribosomal RNA". It matches the Rfam family "Bacterial small subunit ribosomal RNA", at positions 338 to 795 of the family's 1533-position model. The record is from RNAcentral.